Molecule: non-coding RNA, 63 nt
Filed under: Alicyclobacillus acidocaldarius
Lineage: Bacteria; Bacillati; Bacillota; Bacilli; Caryophanales; Alicyclobacillaceae
Also listed under: 1 other name
Description: Fluoride sequence
Rfam family: Fluoride riboswitch aptamer (crcB RNA motif)
Source: RNAcentral
CAGUAUGUCGGUGAUGGAGCUCACCGGAACCGCCCACGACGGGCUGAUGGCUCCUGCGAUGCA